AUACGUAGGGUGCAAGCGUUAAUCGGAAUUACUGGGCGUAAAGCGUGCGCAGGCGGUUUUGUAAGAAAGUGGUGAAAUCCCCGGGCUCGACCUGGGAACUGCCAUUGUGGCUGCAAGGCUGGAGUGUGGCAGAGGGGGGUGGAAUUCUGCGUGUAGCAGGGAAAUGCGUAGAUAUGCGGAGGAACACCGAUGGCGAAGGCAAUCCCCUGGGCCUGCACUGACGCUCAUGCACGAAAGCGUGGGGAGCAAACAGGAUUAGAUACCCUGGUAGUCCACGCCCUAAACGAUGUCAACUGGUUGUUGGGGAUUUAUUUUCUCAGUAACGAAGCUAACGCGUGAAGUUGACCGCCUGGGGAGUACGGCCGCAAGGUUAAAACUCAAAUGAAUUGGCGGGG
This 395-nucleotide ribosomal RNA is filed under the name uncultured bacterium. Its description in RNAcentral is "partial 16S ribosomal RNA". It matches the Rfam family "Bacterial small subunit ribosomal RNA", at positions 523 to 918 of the family's 1533-position model. The record is from RNAcentral.